Molecule: small RNA, 536 nt
Filed under: Pan troglodytes (chimpanzee)
Lineage: Eukaryota; Metazoa; Chordata; Mammalia; Primates; Hominidae
Description: processed transcript
Source: RNAcentral
ACAGACUGCGGGGCGGACGGCGGACGCUGGGACGAGUUUGUAGCUCCGGCCCUGCCGUUCCGACCCCCGCCGCGGUCGCCGCCAUGACGGGGCUAGCACUGCUCUACUCCGGGGUCUUCGUGGCCUUCUGGGCCUGCGCGCUGGCCGUGGGUUCCUGACGGAGACUUCGCCCUUCAUGUGGUCCAACCUGGGCAUUGGCCUAGCUAUCUCUCUGUCUGUGGUUGGGGCAGCCUGGGGCAUCUAUAUUACCGGCUCCUCCAUCAUUGGUGGAGGAGUGAAGGCCCCCAGGAUCAAGACCAAGAACCUGGUCAGCCUUUCAGUGCCACAGACCCCAAGGCCAUCGGCCAUCGGAACUACCAUGCAGGCUACUCCAUGUUUGGGGCUGGCCUCACCGUAGGCCUGUCUAACCUCUUCUGUGGAGUCUGCGUGGGCAUCGUGGGCAGUGGGGCUGCCCUGGCCGAUGCUCAGAACCCCAGCCUCUUUGUAAAGAUUCUCAUCGUGGAGAUCUUUGGCAGCGCCAUUGGCCUCUUUGGGGU